RNAcentral lists this long non-coding RNA (258 nucleotides) under Arabidopsis lyrata. RNAcentral's name for it is "long non-coding RNA (ALYR_LNC002998)". Lineage: Eukaryota; Viridiplantae; Streptophyta; Magnoliopsida; Brassicales; Brassicaceae. The record is from RNAcentral.
AGGAAUAGAAGGAGACACGGUGAACAGCCUUUACCAACAGAGAUACUCGUCAAGUUAAUUGAUAAAAAUGUCCGUAAUCGGUUGAGCACAAUGGAAGGGAGAGGAGCCUCAAGCGGACUCCAAACUUGGUUUGCAUCAAAGAUCUAGAGAAGACUCUGUUUGCUUUUUAAUGUCUUAAAAAUGAUUCGAAUUGUAUCGCAUUAAGUUGUAGAAAACGUUUAUUUUUCUUUUGAAUAUAAUUUAACAUUAAAUUCAAAA